AAGCGGCUUCGGCCGUCUCAACUGGUUGACUCAUAGUAACUGAGCUGAUCGCACGGUCUUGCACCGGCGACGUGUCUUUCAAGUAUCUGCCGUAUCAACUUUCGAUGGUAGUGUAUCUGACUACCAUGGUGAUCACGCGUAACGGAGAAUAAGGGUUCGGCUCCGGAGAGUUCGCCUGAGAAAUCGCGAACACAUCUAAGGAAGGCAGCAGGCGCGAAAAUUACCCACUCUCAGCACGAGGAGGUAGUGACGAAAAAUAACGAGACCAUUCUCUCAUGAGGCUGGUCAUCGGAAUGGGUACAAUUUAAACCCUUUAACGAGUAUCUAUGAGAGGGCAAGUCUGGUGCCAGCAGCCGCGGUAAUUCCAGCUCUCAAAGUGCAUAGAAUUAUUGCUGCGGUUAAAAAGCUCGUAGUUGGAUCUGUGCCGCGCCGCGUGGUCUACCCUCGCGGGUACGCACUACUGUCGGCCGGCUUUCGUGCCGGUUUUCCCGUCGUGGCCUUCGCCGGUCGCGGCGGGUGGCUGGCGAGUUUACUUUGAGAAAAUCAGAGUGCUCAACACAGGCGUCUAGCUUGAAUGAUUGUGCAUGGAAUAAUGGAAAAGGAUCACGGUCCUCUUUUAUUGGUUUUGUGGACUGAGAUAAUGGUUAACAGGGACAAACGGGGGCAUUCGUAUCGCUGCGUGAGAGGUGAAAUUCUUGGACCGUAGCGAGACGCCCGACUGCGAAAGCAUUUGCCAAGAAUGUCUUCAUUAUCAGACGAAAGUCAGAAGGUUCGAGGCGAUC
This 782-nucleotide ribosomal RNA is filed under the name Cephalobus cubaensis. RNAcentral describes it as "SSU rRNA". It matches the Rfam family "Eukaryotic small subunit ribosomal RNA", at positions 225 to 1009 of the family's 1831-position model. Lineage: Eukaryota; Metazoa; Nematoda; Chromadorea; Rhabditida; Cephalobidae. The record is from RNAcentral.